RNAcentral lists this non-coding RNA (169 nucleotides) under Caldanaerovirga acetigignens. The record is from RNAcentral. Lineage: Bacteria; Bacillati; Bacillota; Clostridia; Thermosediminibacterales; Thermosediminibacteraceae.
CCCACCGCAGGUGGGUGCCGAAGGAAGCCGGAGGGAAAGCCACGGCCCGAUGAACAAGAACCCGUUAUGAGGCCAGACCGUUCGGAUGAGCUGGCGAAUCACAGCGAAAUCCAAGGCUGCCAAGGGGUGGUAGGGUAUAUGGGGCGGGCGCGGGGAGGCUUUCGCUCUU